UUAAGCGACUAAGCGUACACGGUGGAUGCCCUGGCAGUCAGAGGCGAUGAAGGACGUGCUAAUCUGCGAUAAGCGUCGGUAAGGUGAUAUGAACCGUUAUAACCGGCGAUUUCCGAAUGGGGAAACCCAGUGUGUUUCGACACACUAUCAUUAACUGAAUCCAUAGGUUAAUGAGGCGAACCGGGGGAACUGAAACAUCUAAGUACCCCGAGGAAAAGAAAUCAACCGAGAUUCCCCCAGUAGCGGCGAGCGAACGGGGAGCAGCCCAGAGCCUGAAUCAGUGUGUGUGUUAGUGGAAGCGUCUGGAAAGGCGCGCGAUACAGGGUGACAGCCCCGUACACAAAAAUGCACAUGCUGUGAGCUCGAUGAGUAGGGCGGGACACGUGGUAUCCUGUCUGAAUAUGGGGGGACCAUCCUCCAAGGCUAAAUACUCCUGACUGACCGAUAGUGAACCAGUACCGUGAGGGAAAGGCGAAAAGAACCCCGGCGAGGGGAGUGAAAAAGAACCUGAAACCGUGUACGUACAAGCAGUGGGAGCACGCUUAGGCGUGUGACUGCGUACCUUUUGUAUAAUGGGUCAGCGACUUAUAUUCUGUAGCAAGGUUAACCGAAUAGGGGAGCCGAAGGGAAACCGAGUCUUAACUGGGCGUUAAGUUGCAGGGUAUAGACCCGAAACCCGGUGAUCUAGCCAUGGGCAGGUUGAAGGUUGGGUAACACUAACUGGAGGACCGAACCGACUAAUGUUGAAAAAUUAGCGGAUGACUUGUGGCUGGGGGUGAAAGGCCAAUCAAACCGGGAGAUAGCUGGUUCUCCCCGAAAGCUAUUUAGGUAGCGCCUCGUGAAUUCAUCUCCGGGGGUAGAGCACUGUUUCGGCAAGGGGGUCAUCCCGACUUACCAACCCGAUGCAAACUGCGAAUACCGGAGAAUGUUAUCACGGGAGACACACGGCGGGUGCUAACGUCCGUCGUGAAGAGGGAAACAACCCAGACCGCCAGCUAAGGUCCCAAAGUCAUGGUUAAGUGGGAAACGAUGUGGGAAGGCCCAGACAGCCAGGAUGUUGGCUUAGAAGCAGCCAUCAUUUAAAGAAAGCGUAAUAGCUCACUGGUCGAGUCGGCCUGCGCGGAAGAUGUAACGGGGCUAAACCAUGCACCGAAGCUGCGGCAGCGACGCUGAUGCGUUGUUGGGUAGGGGAGCGUUCUGUAAGCCUGCGAAGGUGUGCUGUGAGGCAUGCUGGAGGUAUCAGAAGUGCGAAUGCUGACAUAAGUAACGAUAAAGCGGGUGAAAAGCCCGCUCGCCGGAAGACCAAGGGUUCCUGUCCAACGUUAAUCGGGGCAGGGUGAGUCGACCCCUAAGGCGAGGCCGAAAGGCGUAGUCGAUGGGAAACAGGUUAAUAUUCCUGUACUUGGUGUUACUGCGAAGGGGGGACGGAGAAGGCUAUGUUGGCCGGGCGACGGUUGUCCCGGUUUAAGCGUGUAGGCUGGUUUUCCAGGCAAAUCCGGAAAAUCAAGGCUGAGGCGUGAUGACGAGGCACUACGGUGCUGAAGCAACAAAUGCCCUGCUUCCAGGAAAAGCCUCUAAGCAUCAGGUAACAUCAAAUCGUACCCCAAACCGACACAGGUGGUCAGGUAGAGAAUACCAAGGCGCUUGAGAGAACUCGGGUGAAGGAACUAGGCAAAAUGGUGCCGUAACUUCGGGAGAAGGCACGCUGAUAUGUAGGUGAGGUCCCUCGCGGAUGGAGCUGAAAUCAGUCGAAGAUACCAGCUGGCUGCAACUGUUUAUUAAAAACACAGCACUGUGCAAACACGAAAGUGGACGUAUACGGUGUGACGCCUGCCCGGUGCCGGAAGGUUAAUUGAUGGGGUUAGCCGCAAGGCGAAGCUCUUGAUCGAAGCCCCGGUAAACGGCGGCCGUAACUAUAACGGUCCUAAGGUAGCGAAAUUCCUUGUCGGGUAAGUUCCGACCUGCACGAAUGGCGUAAUGAUGGCCAGGCUGUCUCCACCCGAGACUCAGUGAAAUUGAACUCGCUGUGAAGAUGCAGUGUACCCGCGGCAAGACGGAAAGACCCCGUGAACCUUUACUAUAGCUUGACACUGAACAUUGAGCCUUGAUGUGUAGGAUAGGUGGGAGGCUUAGAAGUGUGGACGCCAGUCUGCAUGGAGCCGACCUUGAAAUACCACCCUUUAAUGUUUGAUGUUCUAACGUUGACCCGUAAUCCGGGUUGCGGACAGUGUCUGGUGGGUAGUUUGACUGGGGCGGUCUCCUCCUAAAGAGUAACGGAGGAGCACGAAGGUUGGCUAAUCCUGGUCGGACAUCAGGAGGUUAGUGCAAUGGCAUAAGCCAGCUUGACUGCGAGCGUGACGGCGCGAGCAGGUGCGAAAGCAGGUCAUAGUGAUCCGGUGGUUCUGAAUGGAAGGGCCAUCGCUCAACGGAUAAAAGGUACUCCGGGGAUAACAGGCUGAUACCGCCCAAGAGUUCAUAUCGACGGCGGUGUUUGGCACCUCGAUGUCGGCUCAUCACAUCCUGGGGCUGAAGUAGGUCCCAAGGGUAUGGCUGUUCGCCAUUUAAAGUGGUACGCGAGCUGGGUUUAGAACGUCGUGAGACAGUUCGGUCCCUAUCUGCCGUGGGCGCUGGAGAACUGAGGGGGGCUGCUCCUAGUACGAGAGGACCGGAGUGGACGCAUCACUGGUGUUCGGGUUGUCAUGCCAAUGGCACUGCCCGGUAGCUAAAUGCGGAAGAGAUAAGUGCUGAAAGCAUCUAAGCACGAAACUUGCCCCGAGAUGAGUUCUCCCUGACCCUUUAAGGGUCCUGAAGGAACGUUGAAGACGACGACGUUGAUAGGCCGGGUGUGUAAGCGCAGCGAUGCGUUGAGCUAACCGGUACUAAUGAACCGUGAGGCUUAACCUU
Molecule: ribosomal RNA, 2904 nt
Filed under: Escherichia coli
Lineage: Bacteria; Pseudomonadati; Pseudomonadota; Gammaproteobacteria; Enterobacterales; Enterobacteriaceae
Description: bacterial LSU rRNA
Rfam family: Bacterial large subunit ribosomal RNA
Source: RNAcentral